This is a long non-coding RNA of Strigops habroptila (Kakapo), 3909 nucleotides long. Lineage: Eukaryota; Metazoa; Chordata; Aves; Psittaciformes; Psittacidae. The record is from Ensembl.
AAGAUACCCAAGUUUAUUACUGAAAAAAUGCAAUAUUCAAAUGUGUAUGAUACAGUAAGUAGUUGCAUUUGUACAUGUAAACCUUGGUAAAGUAAACAGCAUCUCAAAGACAAAUUUAUGCCAAAAGUGUCUUACAAUAGUUAAUCAGAUCAACAACUUUUUCUUCAGUGAAUUUUUUUAGUUCUCGGGUACAUAAGGGCUUGUAAAAGUAAUCUUCAAACAUAAAAGAAACCAAAAGCUGACACGCCAGAAGAACUUCUAGCUUGCACUGCAUGAAAGUCAACUUCUCUGAAACGCUCUGUGGCACUGUAGUCUUAUUUUAAAUAUUACUUACAAAGUGCGGAUCUAUGAAUAGAAAAAAUAGUUGAGAUUUUAGUCUUAUUCCUUAAUUAGAAACCACGUUGUAUUUAAAUAUUACAUAAAUUUCAAAUAUAUACACAUUGUCGGAAAUCUCUUAUGAUCAUGAUAUGGCAAGUUAGCCAGGACUAUCCAAGUAAAAAAUGACUGAGCUAUCUUAUUCAGUUAGAUUUUACAUGACAUUAUUUAAAAGAACUGAAAUUACAUUGAUACUACUCUAGGUAAAAAUCAGAGCCAACAGUUUGGAAGAUUUUUCAAUACAAAAUUCUGAGUCAUCUAAAUAGAACACAAAAUUAAAAGGUGAUCCAAAUUUUUUUUCAUUAUUAACAGAAAAAAACAUCCUGCGGUUAGAAUCUUGUUAGCUUUAGACUACGUUUGGUUUAAUCAUAAUUUCUCCCCCAGUAGCAUCCUAACUAGCUCACGCCAGUAAGAAUGCAAACUACAGAGAACAUAAAACAUUAUAGAGGUUAGGGCAACAAGUUAGAACAGAACUUGCACAAGAUAAUUUCCAGUGCAGUGAGGAGGGAAUACGCCAUUAACAUUCCAUAAGUAAAUCCCAUUCCCAGAUUUAAAAAGUUCCUGUGUAACAUGGAACAGCAAAGUGGUAUCUCUAUAGUUCCUUGUUGUGCUGUUGCAACUUUGUGCUGUCGUGCUAACAUUGUGCUAUCAUGAUUAUGCCAAAAUCACGCCUAUACAAAUUUCUGAUAAAUGUGGUUGCCAAUGUCAAUAUUAGAGAAAAAUUGUCAAUUAUAUAGAUUUAAAAAUGCUAGGAUUAUGUAGGGCAUUCAGGAUGUGUGUGGGGAGGGAUAUAAGGAGUGCAACAUAUAGUGAUUGGGAGAGGGGCUGAAAGGACAGAAACGGGUGGCCUACUGGCUCAUGUUGAUAGACCCUGUGCUUCCUCCCACCGCUCCAUCCAGUGCAUACCAACUUGUAAAAAGCACCAGACAAACUAGCAUUUGUGCACUGUCUGCUUUGGCUUCUGAGUUAGGGACAUCACAUCCAAAAAGAGCCUGUAAAAACUUCUGCAGUUACAGAAUUGCCCUGGAAAUUGGACUGUCAGCAAGAAGGCAUCACUUAAUCACUUAGUGAUUUACUUAUCACUGAGGAUAAGUAAAGAGUGAGAAAAAGAGAAGGAUUAGGAGGAUUGCUGCCAUGCUCCAUCUUCAAACCCUAGUUUUGCAGAACCUGUCAGAGUUCUGGAGAAAAACCUGCUGAAGCGCAGAGGAGCAUUUUGCUUCCUCUGCUCCUCCUCAGCCUCCACACGCUGGCUUGUUGCAUUUUACCCCAGCAGAACAUGGGCUUUGUGAGCAUGAGGUUCAAUAUGAAAAGACAGAGGGAUCUUUUCAAGCUGCUAAAUUUUCCACCACAUGAAUUUAGGUUUGUAAUUCACUUAAACGCUUGCCAAAAGUGUCAUUGCACGCCUUUUAGACAAAGUAUGCAUUUGAACUAACAAAAAAACAACAAAUCUGUCUAAACGUGGAAUUCUGUUUGAAUUCUAGUGUCAGUGUUAACACCAAAUAAACAUGAUUAUGAAAGGCUGGCUAUGUAUUUGUUUCAACCUUUGCCCCCAAGUAAGCAACAUCAAUAGUUUAUGAGGAUUAAGAAAAAUAAAAGGCAUCUGGAAGUAUUACUGUAUUGUAAGUAAUUGUUGGUAUCACUGUUUUUAUCUCUGUCCCCUUUCUCCUGUGCAACACUUCUUAAUAGAAAAUGCGAUAGUUUGAUUUUCCAUUAACCUUAUUGCCUUCAUAUUUAGCUGUUUGUCCUGGGUUCAGCUUAAACCACGACACUGUUUGUAUAAAAUAAGUUUUAUUGAUAUGGUCAUUGCCCAGUGUAUAUAAAAACCCCUAGUUUUCAAUAGUUUUAAUGAAAAUUUGUGACACUUGCAAGUUAACUACAUGCUAACCUUCUCAGUUUCUUUUCAAUUUAUGGACACGGAUGAUCUUCGGUUAAUCAAAAUGAUAGGAUGCUUCUAAAUAUGUAUGUAUUAAUUUACCCCUGAAUGAACUGAGACAUAAUGCAAAAGAUUUAUAAGGCCCAUUAUGCCAUGUAGGUGUUCGCAGUCCUACAUGGCAUCAGUGCAUCAGAACUUCACAGUCCUACUAAGUCUCUGGAUCCCAUGGCUCCAGAAAUUCUAUCUGGCAGCCUUCCCAUUCGGAGUGUGAAAUGGAAGAAGCCACAGCAAGCAAACAGCACUACUGACUUACAUUAGGCUGAUCAUUAAGUACAUUAGGAAUAAAAUAUCACCAAAAUUCUUGCCUUUCCCCAUACUAACACUCUAAAGCUGUGUUUCCCAAGAUAUUUUUUCCUUCUGAAGAACUUUUUAUGAAAGAAACUUCAGCGAUUCAGGAAUUUACACAUUAAGGUACCCAUUAACCUAUUUUCACUAUGCCCCCCAGACAUUUUUCUUUUGAGCUUUCCAUAGGACACAAUGAGCCAAACUGAUCCUCAGAAAACAACUAAGACAAGUUGGUGUUGGAAAAUGGCAUAGAAACAGCUGAUGCGUGUUUUGUACAAAUUAAGAUGAGCACUUCCAAAGAAACAGUAACAAAAAACCACUUAUCAUCCAUCAUCACCAUGGAAAUUUUAGCCUUAUCAUCAACAUUAACUUCCAUAUUCACCUACAUUUUCUUUAUAAAUCCUUUAACAAAAAGGGGUAGGAAAGAAAAAUCUAAAAGUAACCAUCAUGUCAUUUGCUUUGUUUCCAAAUAUUAGUACUCUAUCAGGAUGCUCAAACACUGUACUGUUUCUGGUAAGGAAACUGGGUUACAGCACAACAAAUUGAGAGCCUGUGCUCAAUCUUCACACAAUCCUGUUAGUGCUCAGUUGUGAAUACUGAGCUCUUAAUGCCUCCAUCUAUAUGGAGACAGACAUUGAGCUCUAAGAAGGAACUUCUCAUUAGGACGGCUAAUGCAGCAGAAUUCUUUUUUUUCCUUUUUUAGUCACUAGAAUUCAGAUCUCACACAUUAGGCACAAAUUUAGAAUAAAAAGUUGUAAGAAAUGAGAUGUGUAUAAUCUACAUGGACUUUUUGCUGUUUCUGAGAUGGAAAUUUCUUCUGUCUGAAUCAAGACACAGAAUUUGGUUAGGAAUAAUUAAGACAUUUUGGACUAAUCCUUCAUAUUUCAAAAUAUCUAGUUGCUCAUGCAGUCUCUCUAAGGGCGCAUGCAUAGAGCAAAGUUGUCACAGGUUAGAUCUGCAAUGACCUAAAGCAUUUUUUGCACAAAUUGAAGUUCUAAAGCUUUGUCAGAUUUUACAAAUGCAGCUCGCAUGCACAGUCUAUUCAUACUGGUCAUUUGUUUGGAAAGACAAUAUUUAGCAUAUGAAAAGAUCAUUCACCAUUCAUAAAAUAUAUUAUUCCUGAGGACAGAGUGUGCUUUAUACUUUAGUAAAAUAACGUGCAGUCAAUGCAAACAGCAUACUAAACAAAGCCUUGCAAAAAGAUUUCUCAGCUUAAGCAAACAGCUAGGUAGUGGCAAAACCUUCAGACAUUGUUGAUGUCCUCCAAAAAUAAAGGAGGACACACAGUGUUUCUCCAGAACUUCCUGUGCUUUUCC